This 900-nucleotide ribosomal RNA is filed under the name Pseudoalteromonas sp. TB17. RNAcentral describes it as "bacterial SSU rRNA". It matches the Rfam family "Bacterial small subunit ribosomal RNA", at positions 76 to 978 of the family's 1533-position model. The record is from RNAcentral. Lineage: Bacteria; Pseudomonadati; Pseudomonadota; Gammaproteobacteria; Alteromonadales; Pseudoalteromonadaceae.
CUUAGCUAGGUUGCUGAAGAGCGGAGGACGGGUGAGUAAUGCUUGGGAACAUGCCUUGAGGUGGGGGACAACAGUUGGAAACGACUGCUAAUACCGCAUAAUGUCUACGGACCAAAGGGGGCUUCGGCUCUCGCCUUUAGAUUGGCCCAAGUGGGAUUAGCUAGUUGGUGAGGUAAUGGCUCACCAAGGCGACGAUCCCUAGCUGGUUUGAGAGGAUGAUCAGCCACACUGGGACUGAGACACGGCCCAGACUCCUACGGGAGGCAGCAGUGGGGAAUAUUGCACAAUGGGCGCAAGCCUGAUGCAGCCAUGCCGCGUGUGUGAAGAAGGCCUUCGGGUUGUAAAGCACUUUCAGUCAGGAGGAAAGGUUAGUAGUUAAUACCUGCUAGCUGUGACGUUACUGACAGAAGAAGCACCGGCUAACUCCGUGCCAGCAGCCGCGGUAAUACGGAGGGUGCGAGCGUUAAUCGGAAUUACUGGGCGUAAAGCGUACGCAGGCGGUUUGUUAAGCGAGAUGUGAAAGCCCCGGGCUCAACCUGGGAACUGCAUUUCGAACUGGCAAACUAGAGUGUGAUAGAGGGUGGUAGAAUUUCAGGUGUAGCGGUGAAAUGCGUAGAGAUCUGAAGGAAUACCGAUGGCGAAGGCAGCCACCUGGGUCAACACUGACGCUCAUGUACGAAAGCGUGGGGAGCAAACGGGAUUAGAUACCCCGGUAGUCCACGCCGUAAACGAUGUCUACUAGAAGCUCGGAACCUCGGUUCUGUUUUUCAAAGCUAACGCAUUAAGUAGACCGCCUGGGGAGUACGGCCGCAAGGUUAAAACUCAAAUGAAUUGACGGGGGCCCGCACAAGCGGUGGAGCAUGUGGUUUAAUUCGAUGCAACGCGAAGAACCUUACCUAC